This is a long non-coding RNA of Salmo salar (Atlantic salmon), 1832 nucleotides long. RefSeq lists it as uncharacterized. The record is from RefSeq and is a predicted model, not a curated record. NCBI's taxonomy places the organism in Eukaryota, Metazoa, Chordata, Actinopteri, Salmoniformes, Salmonidae.
AAAAUACACUUCAAGAUUGUGUAUCUGCGCACGCUUGGAGUUAUGUCACUGUUGUCACGUUACCAAGAGUUACCAAGUUUGUACAAAGUUUUGUACUUUUGUAGAAAGAGAUUCACAAUUUUUUUUAAAUUGACUGAGCAACGUUGCGGGCAGGACCUUUUACUCCUGACCAAUCAGCCAAAACCACCGCCGCCUAUUCCUGCAACCAUUGGCCGGAUUGUUCCAUCAAUCAAAUCUCAGGAAGUAGCUUGAAGAGGAGAAGGGAAGUCAUUUCUACAAAGUAACUGGAAUAAAAUGAUCUACCUGAAGGUGGAGGGGGAGUAAGAUCACUAGAAAGCAGAAUGCUGCCAGACAACCACAGGACCCAAGAGACCUCUACAUGCUGUAACAUGGGCCUGGAUGGUGAGACACCACUGCUUCCAGCUGCCUUACUGAAUAUUGGGGCCUUCAGUGGUACCUGACAUUACAGUAAGAGUCUCUUCAUCUCGUUCUCGAAGCCAUUUAACGUGUCAUCAUGUAUUUUAUGUAACCACUCAUUCAUCCAAACUGCUACAGACAUAAGAACAGACUUAUAUUCACUUGUCAAUUUGUCCUAUUCUUCAGGCUUUUCUGGGAUAUAUAUUUUAGUUGGCACACCUUUGUGAUGUCUUAUAUACAUGAAUAAAAUGUCUUCACCCUGGACAUGAGGCUCCAGUUCGACAAUGCAUGCUUCCAGCAGGAUGCACAGACAACUAUGGUUUGCAUGCCCUACUGAAGGACCCUACCGUGCGGAAUAGGUGGUUGUAGUUCGUUGGUCCCCAAUGGUGGUGAGUAUACCGGUAGCUAAACCAUAGACUGCUGGUUAUGUAUCUGGUUAUGUAUAUAUUGUUGAUCGUUAUCACUAUCAUCACUGGCAUAGCUGAUGUUCACACUUCAAUACAACUCAGAUUUGACUUGGAAACAGAAUAACAUUUCAAAAGAAGGCAAAUAAUUAGUAGGAACCUCUUGUCAUGAUUGUGAUGUCGCCAGAUUGACUUUAGAGGCAGUAUAACUUCUGCCAGCUAACUAAAAUUGAGGGGAACACUGUAUUGUAGCUAGCUAACAUUAGCAUUGCUAGCUAUUUUUGACUAACUUUGCUAGUUACAUUAAUGGCAACAUUGCCAUCUCUCUAAUGGAAAUUUGACGACAUCAUAAUAUGGCAAAGUUUUUUCUUACUAAUUUAUUUGCCUACUUCAGCAAUGUCAUCUUGUUUCCAUGCCACUAUAAUUUAGUUUAAUUUAGACCAAACAGUCACAUUAGCCUUUUGAGGUGCAACCCAUGUCUAAGGCACAAAUAAAUAUUGGAUGCAGCUAUGGUGGUACUAGCUAACUCAUGUCUGACUACAACGGUGUAUGUAAACUGCCAUUAUUUGUUUCUUAUUUCCAAGGCAUAACUUAGCUUGAUGAACGAGCCUGAUCGCUGUGUUCACCAUUCUAUUUCUCUUCACAUUUUAUGAUAUCUGAAGUGAAAUAGAAAGGUGAACACAAGGAUCAGGUUGGUUCCCCCAGGCUAAUCAUAACUACCAUUGAUUGUGUAUGUGUGAAAGAGACGAUCCAGUAUCUUUGAUGAGGGGCCAGGAGCUGAUCUACGCUGCUAUGCCCAUAAAUGUGGCUCUGGCAAAGACCUCCCCUCUUGCCUGCUCACCAACAGUUGUCGAUGGGGAGAACAAAAUUAGAUACCUUUAUGGAGACAGCACUUGGGAGACUUCCAAGAUGAUAUGAUGGAGUCCAGACUGACAAGACAGGCUUGAUGCUGAUGUCUCUGAAUGGAUCAAGACCUUGCACUCAGCAAUAUAAUUAUACAGGACACAUCUA